UCACUUUCAGGCUGAUCAUUAGGUACU
RNAcentral lists this non-coding RNA (27 nucleotides) under Mus musculus (house mouse). Lineage: Eukaryota; Metazoa; Chordata; Mammalia; Rodentia; Muridae. The record is from RNAcentral.